Neltuma alba is the source of this 720-nucleotide long non-coding RNA. RefSeq lists it as uncharacterized. The record is from RefSeq and is a predicted model, not a curated record. The transcript is spliced from 2 exons. Lineage: Eukaryota; Viridiplantae; Streptophyta; Magnoliopsida; Fabales; Fabaceae.
ACUCUGCUUGUCCUCAACGCAACCCUAUUUUAUACUUUCUUAUUUUGAUUAUAAAUAACGGUAAGUUAGGAGCACAGAACACAUCAAACAGAGUCAUUGUACCUCUCCACCUUUACCUCUAUAGCUAUAGUCAUAGAGGACGCUGUAUCCUGAGAUGAGGAUAAUAUUAUUACUAACACUUCUCUUGUCUGUUUUAUGUGCUGAGGCAAGAUCAAGUUCAGAUUUGCCUCUACGAUUCACUUCAGAACAGAGAGCUCUAAACCCCUCAAGUAGCAGCAUCCAAAAACAGAGUGUCCAUGGGAGACCAGAGAUAAGUGGAAGCCUAUUAAAGGACAGCAAAGUUGAAGAAAAGCAUCAAGGAUCUUAUGAAACAAGUAAAGCUCAGAGAGGAAAAGGAGCCAGUGGGGGUUCCGACGUCAAUCAUAGAGAUCCUCGCUCUCAAAGUUCUCCUCCAUUAAUGUCAUCUUGGACUUCAAUAUUGGCUCUUCAUGGAAGCCUUGGUUUAGCCUUUCUCUUUUCUUUUUACUUCUUUUAAGGUGUUCUAGACAAGUUACAUUUUAAAAUCUAUGUCUUCGUAGAGCUUUAUUUUCUCAUAAGUUUUUCUUUACAGUUGUGCCCACUAGAAAUUAAGAAUAGCUUAUCUCAAUUGAUGCAUGCUUUUUUUCAGACCACUGUACCUAACAUCUCAAGUAUAUCGAAUAAAAGAUGUCUAUGUUUAUA